RNAcentral lists this ribosomal RNA (533 nucleotides) under Clavispora lusitaniae. RNAcentral describes it as "LSU rRNA". It matches the Rfam family "Eukaryotic large subunit ribosomal RNA", at positions 64 to 668 of the family's 3401-position model. The record is from RNAcentral. Lineage: Eukaryota; Fungi; Ascomycota; Pichiomycetes; Serinales; Metschnikowiaceae.
GCCSGGGCAUUGCCCCAGUACGGCGAGUGAGCGGCAAAAGCUCAAAUUUGAAAUCCUGCGGGAAUUGUAAUUUGAAGGUUUCGUGGUCUGAGUCGGCCGCGCCCAAGUCCAUUGGAACAUGGCGCCUGGGAGGGUGAGAGCCCCGUAUGGCGCACGCCGACUCUUUGUACACCGCGGCUCCGACGAGUCGAGUUGUUKGGGAAUGCAGCUCUAAGUGGGUGGUAAAUUCCAUCUAAAGCUAAAUAUUGGCGAGAGACCGAUAGCGAACAAGUACAGUGAUGGAAAGAUGAAAAGCAYUUUGAAAAGAGAGUGAAACAGCACGUGAAAUUGUUGAAAGGGAAGGGCUUGCAAGCAGACACGGUUUUACCGGGCCAGCGUCGAAAAGGGGGGAGGAACAAGAACUCGAGAAUGUGGCGCGCACCUUCGGGCGCGCGUGUUAUAGCUCGUGUUGACSCCUCCAUCCCUUUUCGAGGCCUGCGAUUCUAGGACGCUGGCGUAAUGGUUGCAAGCCGCCCGUCUUGAAACACGGAMCA